Molecule: long non-coding RNA, 245 nt
Organism: Arabidopsis thaliana (thale cress)
Lineage: Eukaryota; Viridiplantae; Streptophyta; Magnoliopsida; Brassicales; Brassicaceae
Product: other RNA
Exons: 1
Source: RefSeq
AGUAUAUGGUGGAGAGAGGAUUCAAGAAUCCAUGAUUAAUAACAGAGCGCUAUAUGUGGAGCAAGGAAUUACAGAUUAAGAGGCUUUGUACUUUUGUUGACCACACAGCAUUGACUCCAUUGACUGAGAAUGGUGAAAACAGAGGAAGCUUCCUAGUUAUCGUUUCAUGGAAACUUUAUGAACCAUUGUGACUCCUCCGCUGUCUUAUGUGGAAAUGAUAAUGAUUCCUGUUCCCACUUCACAUC